Molecule: ribosomal RNA, 465 nt
Filed under: uncultured bacterium
Lineage: Bacteria
Description: bacterial SSU rRNA
Rfam family: Bacterial small subunit ribosomal RNA
Source: RNAcentral
UCCAGACUCCUACGGGAGGCAGCAGUGAGGAAUAUUGGUCAAUGGCCGUAAGGCUGAACCAGCCAAGUAGCGUGAGGGAAGACUGCCCUAUGGGUUGUAAACCUCUUUUAUGCGGGGAUAAAGGUGUCCACGUGUGGAUGUUUGCAGGUACCGCAUGAAUAAGGACCGGCUAAUUCCGUGCCAGCAGCCGCGGUAAUACGGAGGAUCCGAGCGUUAUCCGGAUUUAUUGGGUUUAAAGGGAGCGUAGAUGGGUUGUUAAGUCAGUUGUGAAAGUUUGCGGCUCAACCGUAAAAUUGCAAUUGAUACUGGCAGCCUUGAGUACAGUUGAGGUAGGCGGAAUUCGUGGUGUAGCGGUGAAAUGCUUAGAUAUCACGAAGAACUCCGAUUGCGAAGGCAGCCUGCCGCAGCGUUACUGACGCUGAAGCUCGAAGGCGCGGGUAUCGAACAGGAUUAGAUACCCGAGUA